AGCCCUUAUUUAGGAACUGCUGGCAGGCUGGCUGAGGAACCAAGGAAUCGUGGAGGGAAAGAGAGCCAACUUCUGCAGCUUCCCAAAGCUGUACGACCACGCGCAAGGGCAGAACACUAUUCAUAGGAUCCCACCUAAGUUUCUUGGGGGAAUAAAGGAAGCAGGACGGUUGGUGGUGAGGUGACGAAGGAACAGUUACCACGGAGAUUGGAAGAGGACAACAAUCUCUGGGGAUGCAGUUCCUCCCAGAUCAGUCUUACCAGGAUGUAGACACAUUCCAGGGGAAAUUUCGCAGCACUCU
Gorilla gorilla gorilla (western lowland gorilla) is the source of this 301-nucleotide long non-coding RNA. RefSeq lists it as uncharacterized. The record is from RefSeq and is a predicted model, not a curated record. The transcript is spliced from 3 exons. Lineage: Eukaryota; Metazoa; Chordata; Mammalia; Primates; Hominidae.